AUAAGCAACGUGCCUUGAAGACUGGGAUAGUCAGUGGAAACGCUGGGUAAUACCGGAUGUGGCAGUUCUUUGGCAUCUUAGAACUGUUAAAUGGUUUUUCGCUUCAAGAGCGGCUUAUGGCCUAUCAGGUAGUUGGUGGGGUAAUGGCCUACCAAGCCGACGACGGGUAGCGGGUCUGAGAGGAUGAUCCGCUCGAGUGGGACUGAGACACGGCC
Molecule: ribosomal RNA, 215 nt
Filed under: uncultured bacterium
Lineage: Bacteria
Description: partial 16S ribosomal RNA
Rfam family: Bacterial small subunit ribosomal RNA
Source: RNAcentral